This 67-nucleotide transfer RNA is filed under the name Marmota monax (woodchuck). RNAcentral describes it as "tRNA.Val". The record is from RNAcentral. Lineage: Eukaryota; Metazoa; Chordata; Mammalia; Rodentia; Sciuridae.
GGUUGUGGCUCAGCGGUAGAGCACUCGUCUCACAUAUUCGAGACCCUGGGUUUGAUCCCAAGCACCA